Molecule: ribosomal RNA, 424 nt
Filed under: uncultured Nitrosospira sp.
Lineage: Bacteria; Pseudomonadati; Pseudomonadota; Betaproteobacteria; Nitrosomonadales; Nitrosomonadaceae
Description: bacterial SSU rRNA
Rfam family: Bacterial small subunit ribosomal RNA
Source: RNAcentral
CAAGACCUUGCGCUUUUGGAGCGGCCGAUGUCUGAUUAGCUAGUUGGUGAGGUAAAGGCUUACCAAGGCUUCGAUCAGUAGCUGGUCUGAGAGGACGACCAGCCACACUGGGACUGAGACACGGCCCAGACUCCUACGGGAGGCAGCAGUGGGGAAUUUUGGACAAUGGGGGCAACCCUGAUCCAGCCAUGCCGCGUGAGUGAAGAAGGCCUUCGGGUUGUAAAGCUCUUUCAGCCGGAACGAAACAGUCACGGCUAAUAACCGUGAUCACUGACGGUACCGGAAGAAGAAGCACCGGCUAACUACGUGCCAGCAGCCGCGGUAAUACGUAGGGUGCGAGCGUUAAUCGGAAUUACUGGGCGUAAAGCGUGCGCAGGCGGUUUUGUAAGUCAGAUGUGAAAUCCCCGGGCUCAACCUGGGAACU